Molecule: unclassified non-coding RNA, 722 nt
Filed under: Cryptococcus neoformans
Lineage: Eukaryota; Fungi; Basidiomycota; Tremellomycetes; Tremellales; Cryptococcaceae
Description: partial contains 28S ribosomal RNA and intergenic spacer; IGS
Source: RNAcentral
UAAGCCCUUGUUCUAUAGAUUUGUCUCUAACAUGUUGGGUCUCGGGGGGCUUCCUCUAGAGACUUGGAUGUAAGGGGCUUUACGCAUUCGCAUAACUUAUGAAGUGUGGAUGACUCUAGGAGGGGUCUGAGAAUGUGCUGUGCCAGCCAGGCUGAUAAUUGUUUAAUUGUUAGCUUGGACUUGUACACAGUCUCAUCAGUCUUCAGCUUGGGUCAUUGAUAUUCUGUAAGUCAAAACUUAUCGAUUCACUGUAGUAGGUUGCGGAGGACUUGAAAGUUCUCUCUGCAAUUGAGACACUUACCAGGCCAUCGCAAGUUGGCAGUGUACACUACUGAUUUUACGGUCGUGGGGGACUUGGGAGCUGGUGCUUGUGUCGCAUGAGGUAGAGUUGAUAUGGAUGGAUGGAAGAGAAGCAUAUGUAUGUCGUGGGGGACUUGGGGUAAGACGCCUUGCGGCAAGUAGAGUCAAACCAGUAGUGACUUCUUUUGGUCGUGGGGGACUUUGGUAAUGGUAGUGAGCCGGAAUAAGGGAUGGAUAAAUGUAGUAUGGAUGGUGACAGGGGGAGCAGCAGAGCGUACGCAGUGGGUAUGUAUAUAGUUGAAAAGGGAUGGGCAGUAGAAUUUUGAGGAAUUAAUGACCUAAGGGUGGUUCUAAUAGGCUUGUCAAGAAAAAAGUUAAGUUGAAUCAAGCUGGGUCAAGCAAAGUCUAGAAAAGAUUUAUUG